GACGAACGCUGGCGGCGUGCUUAACACAUGCAAGUCGAACGGAAAGGCCCUGCUUUUGUGGGGUGCUCGAGUGGCGAACGGGUGAGUAACACGUGAGUAACCUGCCCUUGACUUUGGGAUAACUUCAGGAAACUGGGGCUAAUACCGGAUAGGAGCUCCUGCUGCAUGGUGGGGGUUGGAAAGUUUCGGCGGUUGGGGAUGGACUCGCGGCUUAUCAGCUUGUUGGUGGGGUAGUGGCUUACCAAGGCUUUGACGGGUAGCCGGCCUGAGAGGGUGACCGGGCAGGUGGGAAGUGAGAUCCGGGCCAGGAUCCUGGGGGCGGCAGCGCGGGGGGAGGGAGCACAGCCGGCGGAUGCCAAACGCCGUACGCCGGAGGGCGGGAGGGCGGGCUGCGGGUGGUAAAACACCUCCCCCUGAAACGAAGGCUGGCUGCCGGUAAAGGGUACGGAAGCACCAGCUGUCUACAC
Molecule: ribosomal RNA, 467 nt
Filed under: uncultured bacterium
Lineage: Bacteria
Description: partial 16S ribosomal RNA
Rfam family: Bacterial small subunit ribosomal RNA
Source: RNAcentral